RNAcentral lists this ribosomal RNA (512 nucleotides) under uncultured bacterium. RNAcentral describes it as "partial 16S ribosomal RNA". It matches the Rfam family "Bacterial small subunit ribosomal RNA", at positions 28 to 523 of the family's 1533-position model. The record is from RNAcentral.
GACGAACGCUGGCGGCGUGCCUAAUACAUGCAAGUCGAGCGAAUCACUGGGAGCUUGCUCCCGGUGGUUAGCGGCGGACGGGUGAGUAACACGUGGGCAACCUGCCUGUAAGACUGGGAUAACACCGGGAAACCGGUGCUAAUACCGGAUAAUUCUUUUCUGCACAUGCAGGAAAGCUGAAAGUCGGUUUCGGCUGACACUUACAGAUGGGCCCGCGGCGCAUUAGCUAGUUGGUGAGGUAACGGCUCACCAAGGCGACGAUGCGUAGCCGACCUGAGAGGGUGAUCGGCCACACUGGGACUGAGACACGGCCCAGACUCCGACGGGAGGCAGCAGUAGGGAAUCUUCCACAAUGGACGAAAGUCUGAUGGAGCAACGCCGCGUGAGCGAUGAAGGCCUUCGGGUCGUAAAGCUCUGUUGUUAGGGAAGAACAAGUACCGGAGUAACUGCCGGUACCUUGACGGUACCUAACCAGGAAGCCACGGCUAACUACGUGCCAGCCGCCGCAGUAA